GGGUUGUGAGGUUAAGCGACUAAGCGUACACGGUGGAUGCCCUGGCAGUCAGAGGCGAUGAAGGGCGUGCUAAUCUGCGAUAAGCGCCGGUAAGGUGAUAUGAACCGUUAUAACCGGCGAUACCCGAAUGGGGAAACCCAGUGUGAUUCGUCACACUAUCAUUAACUGAAUCCAUAGGUUAAUGAGGCGAACCGGGGGAACUGAAACAUCUAAGUACCCCGAGGAAAAGAAAUCAACCGAGAUUCCCCCAGUAGCGGCGAGCGAACGGGGAGGAGCCCAGAGCCUGAAUCAGCAUGUGUGUUAGUGGAAGCGUCUGGAAAGGCGCGCGAUACAGGGUGACAGCCCCGUACACAAAAGCGCAUGUGCUGUGAGCUCGAUGAGUAGGGCGGGACACGUGGUAUCCUGUCUGAAUAUGGGGGGACCAUCCUCCAAGGCUAAAUACUCCUGACUGACCGAUAGUGAACCAGUACCGUGAGGGAAAGGCGAAAAGAACCCCGGCGAGGGGAGUGAAAAAGAACCUGAAACCGUGUACGUACAAGCAGUGGGAGCACCCUUCGGGGUGUGACUGCGUACCUUUUGUAUAAUGGGUCAGCGACUUAUAUUCUGUAGCAAGGUUAACCGUAUAGGGGAGCCGGAGGGAAACCGAGUCUUAACCGGGCGUUAAGUUGCAGGGUAUAGACCCGAAACCCGGUGAUCUAGCCAUGGGCAGGUUGAAGGUUGGGUAACACUAACUGGAGGACCGAACCGACUAAUGUUGAAAAAUUAGCGGAUGACCUGUGGCUGGGGGUGAAAGGCCAAUCAAACCGGGAGAUAGCUGGUUCUCCCCGAAAGCUAUUUAGGUAGCGCCUCGUGAAUUCAUCUCCGGGGGUAGAGCACUGUUUCGGCUAGGGGGCCAUCCCGGCUUACCAACCCGAUGCAAACUGCGAAUACCGGAGAAUGUUAUCACGGGAGACACACGGCGGGUGCUAACGUCCGUCGUGAAGAGGGAAACAACCCAGACCGCCAGCUAAGGUCCCAAAGUCAUGGUUAAGUGGGAAACGAUGUGGGAAGGCCCAGACAGCCAGGAUGUUGGCUUAGAAGCAGCCAUCAUUUAAAGAAAGCGUAAUAGCUCACUGGUCGAGUCGGCCUGCGCGGAAGAUGUAACGGGGCUAAACCAUGCACCGAAGCUGCGGCAGCGAACGUAUCACCCAAGACAACUUUACGGAGUUGACGAUUGACGGAGCGAAGCGACGUCAAAGCGUUCAUUAAAGUCGAGUUGGCUUAGGGAUACGUUCGUUGGGUAGGGGAGCGUUCUGUAAGCCUGUGAAGGUGUGUCGUGAGGCAUGCUGGAGGUAUCAGAAGUGCGAAUGCUGACAUAAGUAACGAUAAAGCGGGUGAAAAGCCCGCUCGCCGGAAGACCAAGGGUUCCUGUCCAACGUUAAUCGGGGCAGGGUGAGUCGACCCCUAAGGCGAGGCCGAAAGGCGUAGUCGAUGGGAAACGGGUUAAUAUUCCCGUACUUGGUGUUACUGCGAAGGGGGGACGGAGAAGGCUAUGUUGGCCGGGCGACGGUUGUCCCGGUUUAAGCGUGUAGGUGUGUGUUCCAGGUAAAUCCGGUUCACUUUAACACUGAGGCGUGACGACGAGGCACUACGGUGCUGAAGCAACAAAUGCCCUGCUUCCAGGAAAAGCCUCUAAGCAUCAGGUAACACGAAAUCGUACCCCAAACCGACACAGGUGGUCAGGUAGAGAAUACCAAGGCGCUUGAGAGAACUCGGGUGAAGGAACUAGGCAAAAUGGUGCCGUAACUUCGGGAGAAGGCACGCUGACACGUAGGUGAAGUGAUUUACUCAUGGAGCUGAAGUCAGUCGAAGAUACCAGCUGGCUGCAACUGUUUAUUAAAAACACAGCACUGUGCAAACACGAAAGUGGACGUAUACGGUGUGACGCCUGCCCGGUGCCGGAAGGUUAAUUGAUGGGGUCAGCGUAAGCGAAGCUCCUGAUCGAAGCCCCGGUAAACGGCGGCCGUAACUAUAACGGUCCUAAGGUAGCGAAAUUCCUUGUCGGGUAAGUUCCGACCUGCACGAAUGGCGUAAUGAUGGCCAGGCUGUCUCCACCCGAGACUCAGUGAAAUUGAACUCGCUGUGAAGAUGCAGUGUACCCGCGGCAAGACGGAAAGACCCCGUGAACCUUUACUAUAGCUUGACACUGAACAUUGAGCCUUGAUGUGUAGGAUAGGUGGGAGGCUUUGAAGUGUGGACGCCAGUCUGCAUGGAGCCGACCUUGAAAUACCACCCUUUAAUGUUUGAUGUUCUAACGUGGACCCGUUACCCGGGUUGCGGACAGUGUCUGGUGGGUAGUUUGACUGGGGCGGUCUCCUCCUAAAGAGUAACGGAGGAGCACGAAGGUUGGCUAAUCCUGGUCGGACAUCAGGAGGUUAGUGCAAUGGCAUAAGCCAGCUUGACUGCGAGCGUGACGGCGCGAGCAGGUGCGAAAGCAGGUCAUAGUGAUCCGGUGGUUCUGAAUGGAAGGGCCAUCGCUCAACGGAUAAAAGGUACUCCGGGGAUAACAGGCUGAUACCGCCCAAGAGUUCAUAUCGACGGCGGUGUUUGGCACCUCGAUGUCGGCUCAUCACAUCCUGGGGCUGAAGUAGGUCCCAAGGGUAUGGCUGUUCGCCAUUUAAAGUGGUACGCGAGCUGGGUUUAGAACGUCGUGAGACAGUUCGGUCCCUAUCUGCCGUGGGCGCUGGAGAACUGAGGGGGGCUGCUCCUAGUACGAGAGGACCGGAGUGGACGCAUCACUGGUGUUCGGGUUGUCAUGCCAAUGGCACUGCCCGGUAGCUAAAUGCGGAAGAGAUAAGUGCUGAAAGCAUCUAAGCACGAAACUUGCCCCGAGAUGAGUUCUCCCUGAGACUUAGAGUCUCCUGAAGGAACGUUGAAGACGACGACGUUGAUAGGCCGGGUGUGUAAGCGCAGCGAUGCGUUGAGCUAACCGGUACUAAUGAACCGUGAGGCUUAACCUUACAACGCCGAAG
RNAcentral lists this ribosomal RNA (3011 nucleotides) under Salmonella enterica subsp. enterica serovar 4,[5],12:i:- str. 08-1736. RNAcentral describes it as "bacterial LSU rRNA". It matches the Rfam family "Bacterial large subunit ribosomal RNA". The record is from RNAcentral. Lineage: Bacteria; Pseudomonadati; Pseudomonadota; Gammaproteobacteria; Enterobacterales; Enterobacteriaceae.